This is a long non-coding RNA of Gymnodraco acuticeps, 1093 nucleotides long. RefSeq lists it as uncharacterized. The record is from RefSeq and is a predicted model, not a curated record. The transcript has 4 exons. Lineage: Eukaryota; Metazoa; Chordata; Actinopteri; Perciformes; Bathydraconidae.
GGCGUGCGUUGACGCUUCUGCCCAUUCACUUUGAAUGUGGUGACGUCACGCUUAGCCGAACUGCAUUGUGGGAGCAAAGUGUAGCUUUCAUGUUGUUGGUCUAGCUUCAGACAUGCCGCCCCGUUUGUAGGGGCUGUUACACUGUAUGUGCGCUGCGUUUGGGGGUGCUGCAGCCCCUUCCCUCGUCCACCUUUGCCCUGCGGCGCAAUGAGAUCAUCAAUGAUGAGCUACCUGUUGGAGAGAUCCUGGAACGCUGACCUGCCUUGAAAAUGGAGUCACAGAGUUUCACAGGAUAACAAACCUCAACCUGAAGAACCACUUCUAUGCGGAGUUGGAUAGACAUGUCCCCCCCGUCUUCAGAGCCUGUUCAGGAAGAAGGCGGCAAGCAAGGAAAGGAAAGGAAACUGAAAUUCUGGAUCAGCUAUUAGCCUCCUAUGAACUCCAGGAGCAAGGUGACAUGUCCUCCGUGCUGCUGUCCUCCAUGCUCUAUCUGCAUGAAGAUGACUCCACGUUUCUGAGGCUGUGGCAUGUGGAGCAGUCUGAUGAUCCAGACACAGAGGACUUCUCAUGAUCAGUGCCAUGUCAACAGAUACCACGCUCUUCUGCCCAGAGAGGAUCGCUGUUGUCAUUGAGGGUAACGGAGUUAUCGAACUCCCCACACUGGCUGACGCAUUCAUCCUGCUUUUUGCACUGACCUUUGCCCUGCAUCUGAGCUACCCAAAAGACUUGGCCAACACUUUCGACUUCACCCAGAAAGUGUUGAUGGGCCUGGAUGAGGGGAACUUGAAGCCCAGGGUGUUGAGUCUGAAAAGGCUUUUGGCAGUUUAAUCCUACCAACAAAGUUGCACUUUAACAAUCACACACACACACAGUUCUCCUCGGCUUACAUCCUGCUGCUUUACAUCUGUGUUCUAUUGUGUUCAUUGACAGAUUUGUUACUGUUCAGCUUCAAGUUGAAGGACUGUUCGUAGAUGUUUUAUACUUUUAUAUGUAUUGGGUCUUUAUGGUCCAUGUGUUAAAUUAAUAUGCAAAACUGUUCCUGAAAAUUGUGUUCACUCAUAAGUGAUGGUUAAAAUACAGAUAUUUCUCAAGG